UAGGGAAUAUUGGUCAAUGGGUGCGAGCCUGAACCAGCCAUGCCGCGUGCAGGAAGACGGCCUUCUGGGUUGUAAACUGCUUUUGACAGGGGAUAAAAUGACCAUGCGUGGUUAAUUGAAGGUACCUGUGGAAUAAGCCACGGCUAACUACGUGCCAGCAGCCGCGGUAAUACGUAGGUGGCAAGCGUUGUCCGGAUUUAUUGGGUUUAAAGGGUGCGUAGGCGGCCUUUUAAGUCAGUGCUGAAAUAUCCCGGCUUAACCGGGAGGGUGGCAUUGAUACUGAAAGGCUUGAGUAAAGUUGAGGUUGGCGGAAUUGACGGUGUAGCGGUGAAAUGCUUAGAUAUCGUCAAGAACACCGAUAGUGCAGACAGCUAACUAAGCUUUAACUGACGCUGAGGCACGAAAGUGUGGGGAUCAAA
This 419-nucleotide ribosomal RNA is filed under the name uncultured bacterium. Its description in RNAcentral is "bacterial SSU rRNA". It matches the Rfam family "Bacterial small subunit ribosomal RNA", at positions 355 to 772 of the family's 1533-position model. The record is from RNAcentral.